UACGGAGGGGGCUAGCGUUGUUCGGAAUUACUGGGCGUAAAGCGCACGUAGGCGGCUUUGUAAGUUAGAGGUGAAAGCCCGGGGCUCAACUCCGGAACUGCCUUUAAGACUGCAUCGCUAGAAUUGUGGAGAGGUAAGUGGAAUUCCGAGUGUGGAGGUGAAAUUCGUAGAUAUUCGGAAGAACACCAGUGGCGAAGGCGACUUACUGGACACAUAUUGACGCUGAGGUGCGAAAGCGUGGGGAGCAAACAGG
RNAcentral lists this ribosomal RNA (253 nucleotides) under uncultured bacterium. RNAcentral describes it as "partial 16S ribosomal RNA". It matches the Rfam family "Bacterial small subunit ribosomal RNA", at positions 524 to 776 of the family's 1533-position model. The record is from RNAcentral.